RNAcentral lists this transfer RNA (65 nucleotides) under Anelytra multicurvata. RNAcentral's name for it is "tRNA-Thr". It matches the Rfam family "tRNA". From Rfam's summary of the family: Transfer RNA (tRNA) molecules are approximately 80 nucleotides in length. Their secondary structure includes four short double-helical elements and three loops (D, anti-codon, and T loops). Lineage: Eukaryota; Metazoa; Arthropoda; Insecta; Orthoptera; Tettigoniidae. The record is from RNAcentral.
GUUUUAGUAGUUUAAAUUUAAAACACUGGUCUUGUAAACCAGCAACAAGUAACACUUCUAAAACU